UGGGGAAUUUUGCGCAAUGGGGGAAACCCUGACGCAGCAACGCCGCGUGAGUGAUGAAGGCCUUCGGGUCGUAAAGCUCUGUCUGUGGGGAAGAAGUGCAGGGGCGCUAAUAUCGCUUUUGCUUGACGGUACCCUCUAAGGAAGCACCCGCUAACUCCGUGCCAGCAGCCGCGGUAAUACGGAGGGGGCGAGCGGUGUUCGGAAUUAUUGGUGGUAAAGCGCGUGGAGGCGGUUUGGUAAGUCAGAUGUGAAAGCCCCGGGCUCAACCAGGGAAGCGGAUUGGAAACUGACAGGCUUGAAUACGGGAGAGGGUAGUGGAAUUCCUAGUGUAGGAGUGGAAUCCGUAGAUAUUAGGAGGGACACCGGUGGCGAAGGCGGCUACCUGGACCGAUAUUGACGCUGAGACGCGAAAGCGUGGGG
RNAcentral lists this ribosomal RNA (420 nucleotides) under uncultured bacterium. Its description in RNAcentral is "bacterial SSU rRNA". It matches the Rfam family "Bacterial small subunit ribosomal RNA", at positions 355 to 766 of the family's 1533-position model. The record is from RNAcentral.